UUUAAAAGAGAGAGGGGAGGUGGGGGUGGGGGUGGAGAUACUGAGACCGAGAAAGCCCCAAGCUGAUCCACGCGGCAAACUUGUAGGGUUUGAAGGGUUUGCUAUUUAUCUCAAAGCGCCCGCCUGACACACCUGAGGAGAGAGUGGCCCAACUGUAAGGAUAGGAAAAUUUGGCAGAGAUCUGUGCAUGUUUUCAGCUUUUAAAACUUACGAAAAGCAAUCAGAAGCAGGACACGACUGUCUAUUUGUUAUAGAGGAAGAAACAUCAGUGAGAGAGGACUUGAGGGAUGUACCCAUGGAAGAUCCGGACAUCACAUCAUAUGUGGACGGUAGUGCAUCUAUUGGACCGCGGGGAUUCCCGUGGCUCAUUUGAUGGUACUGUUGCCUUUGCGUCAGAUAAUGUAAGCGAGUACAUGAUGAUCAGAGUGGACUCGGUGGGAUGAAGCUUUUGUUCCCAUGCUCUAUGGCUCUACGACCCUAUGAUGUCCUGGACAUCAUUUUUCGCUUACUCAACGUUACAAAACUAAAGACGUGUGCAACCAUCUGCAUUAUUGGACUGCUGUUUAUAGGAACAAAAAUUGAUGUUUAUGUUUCCUACAUUGCAAUUCAACAUUGGGAGCAUGGUUAACCUACACAAUCUUGUUUUCACACAGAAGGAAGAUUCUGAAGAGCAGUUGAAAGGGAACCACUUCUUUGUCUCAUUGUUUUGCCCGCAGAUUUCAGGGCAUAAAAUACACAAAAAAACUGUGUUGAACAAAGCAGAACAAUGAAAUAAUGCGUCUGAAACGUUCACGAGCGACGCGUCCUAGUUGUGAUUUGCUGCCCUCUUUCCUGAUUUUCAGUGGAGUUGCGGGGUAAAUUUCCUUUUAUUAUCCACGUCGAGAUACGGAAAGAUCGAUAUCUUGUCAGCAGGAAGGCUUGAGAAUUAACAGCAGCAUUUUCUGAUUCUCAUUCCAUUAAAAUUAUUAACAGUAUAAAAAGUCCAAUGUGAAACUCCCAACUAACUCUUCUGUUCCGGCAAUGAUGAAGAUCAAAUCUCUUAACUCCUCUGCUGAUUAUGCCCAUGUUGAUGUUCAAACACAGUUCCACCAAUGCACCCUCUUCCACCCACCCAGCCCCCCUUCUCAAUACCAUACUGGCAGUGUCCUAUACACCACCGAGGCAGAACUUAGAUCUGCUUCCCGGAUGGUAAAUUCACGAAAGCAGCCAGCCCUGGUAGACAGCCUGACACCUUUUCAUCUGCACGCUUUAACAGUCAUUUGCUUCAGGGAAACCUGCAACAUUCCAUUCCCCAAUAAAAGUGGUGACCUGUCUCAACAAGUAAGGUCCAGUAGCUCUAGAGUCGGCCAUAAUAAAAUGCUCAGAAGGAUUGGUAAUGGCCCAUGUUUAUCAGGUCAUAUGGGAUUGGAGUAGAAUUAGGCCAUUCGGCCCAAAGUCUACUCCGCCAUUCAAUCAUGGCUGAUCUAUCUCUCUCUCCUAACCCCAUUCUCCUGCCUUCUCCCCAUAACCUCUGACACCCGUACUAAUCAAGAAUCUAUCUACCUCUGCCUUGAAAAUGUCCACUGACGGCCUCCACAGCCUUCUGUGGCAAAAAUUUCCACAGAUUCACCACCCUCUGACUAAAAGAAUUUCUCCUCAUCUCCUUCCUAAAAGAACGUCCUUUAAUUCUGAGGCCAUGAGGUCUAGUCCUAGACUCUCCCACUAGUGGAAACAUCCUCUCCACAUCCACUGUAUUCAAGCCUUUCACUAUUCAAUAUGUUCAGCUGUGGCAAUAAGAACACCUAUAUCAGGAUGCUGAUCAUUGACUGGAGCACAGCCUUCAACAACAUAAUAACGAGUAAGGUCAUCUCUAAACUGCUGGACCUUGUCCUCGGGCCUUCAUCUACUGCUGGCCUUCCUGACCCGCAGAACUCUGUUGGUUAGAAUUGGUCAUAACAUUUCCUCCUCCCUGACCCUCAACAUUGGUGCCAUGCAGGAUUGUGUGGUCAGUCCACUGCUCUUCUCCCUGUACGGGUGUCAGAGGUUAUGAGGAGAAGUAAAGAGAAUGGGGUUAUCAGGGAGAGAUAGAUCAGCCAUGAUUGAUUGGCCUAAUUCUACUCCUAUCACUUAUGAGCUUAUGACACCCAUCAGUGUGAGGCCAAUUCUUGCGGCAACUCGAUAUUUAAGUUUGCAAAUGAUAUAAAAUUAUAAAAGGACUGGAUAAGCAGGAUGCAGGAAAAAUGUUCCCAAUGUUGGGCGAGUCCAGAACCAGGACUUAGAAUAAAGGGGAGGUCAUUUAAGACUGAGGUGAGAAAAAACUUUUUCACCCAGAGAGUUGUGAAUUUAUGGAAUUCCCUGCCACAGAGGGCAGUGGAGGCUAAAUCACUGGAUGGAUUUAAGAGUUAGAUAGAGCUCUAUGGGCUAGUGGAGUCAAGGGAUAUGGGGAGAAGGCAGGCACGGGCUAUUGAUAGGGGACGAUCAGCCAUGAUCACUAUGAAUGGCAGUGCUGGCUCGAAGGGCCGAAUGGCCUCCUCCUGCACCUAUUUUCUAUGUUUCUAUGUUACCACUUUAGUCUGACCCAUCAGACAGCGUACAGGAAAGAGAUCGAGAUCCUUGUGUCAUGGGGUCAGAACAACAACAUCUAUAAGAAGAAAGAGUUGUUUACUGACCUAAGGCAUACAGUGUGUAUGUGGAGAAGAAGGCAACGCAACCCUGUCCAUAUCAAUAGAGUUGCUGCAGAGAUGACUGACAGCUUUGAGUUUCUAAGCAUCUAUAUUGCUAGUAACCUAAUCUGGUCUUUCACAGUGGUGUAGUGAUGAAGACAGCAUAUCAGUGUAUUUAGUCUCUUAUGCAUCUGAGAAGAUUCAGGAGGUCCAUGAGGAUUCUCUCAACCUUCUACAUACAUACUAUGGAAGGCUUUCUGAUGGGAUGCAUACACACCUGGUAUACCAAUGGCUUUGACUUCACCACCUGAACUUGCAGGGAGUUGGAAACGCAGCCCAGUCCAUCACAAACUCAUCACAUCCUUACAUUCAGUCCAUCUUCAUGGUGCAUUGCAUUAGGAAGUCUGGAAGUGUUUAAAACAUGCCUGCCAUCCUGUCCAUUCACUUUUCUCUUUAGGAGCUUGAAAGGGUAGACAUAAGAACAGCUUCAUGCUCUCCGAACUGAUAACCUCUUUCCCACCCCCUUCCCAGAGAAGCUUCCACGUACUCCUACUUGAACUCCACCAUUUAUCAGUAUUUUGAUUUUGCACUCUAGUUUUACCCUGCAGUACUUUAUAUUGCACUGCAAACUUUUCAACAUUCUGCUGUUUGGCAUUUGUCAUUAUAUUUAUUGGGAAUAAAUUCCCCUUCUUCUAACCUAUUACAUUGCUACCAUUGACCUUUUUUUUUCUGCACUCUCUCUGUAGUUGUUAUGCUAUAUUCUGCCCUAUGGUUAUUUUCUCUUUUGCACUAUCUGAUGCAUUCAUGUACUGUAUGUUAUGAUUUGCCUGCUAAUCCAACCAUACAUGAGCAUGCAAAACUAAGUGUUUGACUGUAUCUCAGUACACGUGACAAUAAUAAACCAACACCAAUUAUUGUUAUAUCUGCCAUUUUCAUGUCUACUGCGUACUCUACGUGGACAAGGAAUUUCAUUUCAGCCUUGUGUAUAUGACAAUAAACUAAUCUAAUUUAAUCUAAUCUAAUCUGUUUUAGAUGACCUAACCUAAUGAGAUCUUUUCAAUGGUCUCAAUGCAUUCUAUGUUCAUCCAUCAGGAUGUGCAUCUCUUGUGUGGUGAGGCAGUCUAUAUUUUGUUUUCUUUGCCCUAGUGGCUGCCAAGAACUGACAAUAUUAAUCUGAAUGGUGAAUGACAGAUUUGAUUGUAAAUCAUGCCCAUAGGGCCAAAAGUAAACAUCUCCAAAGCUCUGUGUACUUGGCCAGCUGCACAUGUGCAAUUAAGGCUGGACUAAAGUCUAAGUUUCCGAUAUACUGUUUAUGCAAACAUUGUGGACAUUGGGCUCUAUAAUUGUUUGGCCUGUAUGUUUAUAUUUUUGUGGGGAAUAUAUAUCAAAUAGGAAAUUCAGAUUUUCAAUAUUUAAUUCAGUGAUUGUUGAAUCACACUUCAACAAUUGGAGUCAUAGUCAUACACCAUGGAAACAAGGCCUUUAGCCCAACUUGCCCACACCAACCAACAUUCCCCCCCCCUACACUAGCCCCAUCUGCCCACAUUUAGCCCAUGUCCCUCUAAACCUAUCCAAUCCAUACAAUAUGUAAUUCAAUGAUGUAUUGCCAUCCCAUAUGUUCAGUUUAUUGCUUAUCGGUUCUGCUAAAAAUGAAGUUAAAAUCAGCAUGGUCAAUGCAUGAAGGUCCUUAUUGUUGGGUCAAUAUAGAUCCUUGAAUGAAGAUUUUAAAAUGGUUCAUGCUUCAAAUAUUUAACUUGUGGAUCGCUAUUUCAAUGAGAAAUCCAUGAUUCUUUUUUUGCUUCUCUGGUUGAAAAUAAAGUGGAAGACAGACUGAAAUAAGAUCCUGAAGAAUAAGGCAGAAACGAUGACAUCACAGUAAUGCAUUGUUGGCCACGGCAGAUGAAGAUUACAGGAUGUGCAAAAUAUAACUUCCUCUGACCCACACGUAUAAAUAUAAACACAGCUGUUCUUAAUUAUGCAAAAAAAUCAUUGAAAUGCUGGUCUCAGGGUAUUAUUUAAAUUACUUUAAAAAAAGUUCAAAUUCUCAGCAUAGGUAGUUUUGCAAUAUGUCGUCAUAAUAGUAUUGAUAAUGGAAUUUGACCAGCAAAGUGAUUUUGGAAAGAAUAGCUUUGUUAUCUUUCUCUGGUAAUUCAGCACUGAUAUACUACUUUAUAAACAUUGCUACAUGCACUGGCCUGCUGGUCAGCAGCAACAGGCUACACGUCGAUGGAGUUUGGUGCAAUCUCAACUCUCAAAGACGUUUUAGAUUUUUUGCGUUAAUUUAUAUGAAUUGACUGUGUGAGGGGUAUAUAUAUAAAAUAUAAAUGCAAUCAACUAUAACUAGACAGCACUUUGCUCAGAAGGCAUAUAAAUGAUGUAACCUACAAACAUGCCAUUGCUUUUUACCAUUGCAUGUUGGUUGAACUGAUUUUCUGUCUUCUCUCCCAAAUAUCAGCUGUAUAACAUCUUCCCAUCUUUUAUUCUAGUGGGAAUUUGAAUUGGUCUGGCAUUUUUAACAAUGAAUUCCGUGCAUGCAUGCAUAAAUAAUUAUGCAUAUUAUCUUCCUUCAGAAAAUUAUUUAGAAAGCUAUACAAAAUGGUUAUUUGUUUACCUAGGUGAUCUUGUAGAGGGGAGAAUGCUGAUAGUAGCCAGUCAUUCUGAGUUCCCUAAAAGCCUGGUAGUUAGUAUUUGAACUUGUAUCUUCAAUCAAAGGUGCGGGGUAUAUUUACAUCUUUCAUGGUGCAGUAGAGGCAACUCUUAUCUAUCUACACUAAUAGUUCAAUGGUGGAAACUGUGUAUGUGUUGCCUUCUUCGCCUGUCAUGGGGACAAAUCUACGUUUCCUCCUGAUGGAGGAUGUGUUUAUAUUCCUUGUGAAUGGAGAUGAAAGAUUGGUCAAUAUUCCUCAAGGUCCACUGGCGAGGGAAUGUGUCAUGUUGCUUAAUCUAAUAGUGAGAAGUUUCCAAAUAAGGUAUGUAGCCUUGUUUCCCAGAGUUAAUGGUGACAGGGGUGGAGGUGGGGGAGAUAGUAGAAGCAUUUUAACCCUUCUAUCAUUUUGAUGUAAACGUGGGUAUAGUAGUUACAUUUUAACAUGUUAAUUACAGUUAGGUAUCAGACCAGAAAUUUUUAAUUUGUCAGAAAUGUCCUAAUUUAUUUGUGUUCUGACUGUUUAAUCUUAAUAUUGUCUGUAAAGUACUGAAAACAUUUGUAAUGAAAAUAAAAUGGCUAUUGCCGUUUGCAUACCCUCAAUAUUAAAGCAUAUUAUUAAUAUUGUAUGUAGUUAAUUUUUAUAAAAAAUCAGAAAUGCCAGAACAUUUUAGCUACACCAACCAUCUUAUAAGUUUCUGGUAAACCUUUCCAUUCCCUGCUCAACAUGCUGACAAACAUGUUGUGGAAGCCAUUUGUAUAAUAUGAAUGAUCUGUCAGAUGAAAAUAAGCUAAAUAUAUAACAAUAGAUGGUGUAAUGGGUCAAUGGUGAACCGCAGCAUGGUUGCAUACUGGUAAUUUUCAACACAGCAAGUUUUACAUCUCAACCCUGCCGUCCAGGAAAGGAGAAAUAAAGAGGUCACCCCUCACUGCUCCCCUAUAUCCCGGGGACACCACUUCAAAUAGGGAGAGGUCUGGAGUGGAUUUUUUCAGGAGAUGGUGAUUACUGUAAAACACUACAACGGGAUUGCAAGUGUUAAAAAUGAGGAGCAGUAUCAGUUUCAAAAUGGGUUCAAUUUUCAAAAGAUGGUCAUAACAGUCUGAAGUAUUUUCCAUUUAUUUGGAAAGCUCUUCCAUUGUGAUUUUAUAAUAACUUGGGAGCCAAAUAUUUUACUAAAUAAUUUACAGUGAUAAACACAAUUCAAUUUUCGAGGAGACCAGUUAUUCAGUUAACAGGAACUGACAGUACAUGCCUUUGGUAAUAUAAUCAGCUGUGGUCAUAUCAUUCUGGGUGUUAUUUUGCUCACAACUGUGUGCAAGUGCUUAUUUAGAUCUUUCCCAUUAAUCUUUGCUUUUAUGAGCUAUUUCAGCCCGUCAUUCUUAUCUGUUUUAUCUCACUCAACUUUUUAGGGGGGGAUAUGUAAUAGUGCUGAAGUGAAAGGAAAAGGAAGGGGAAAUCAUAUAAACUGAUUGUCAUUAAAUAAUCAUCAAUCAUAAAUUAAAAUAUUUUCAUAAAAUUACAUGCAAAUGUUAUGUAGUUUAAGAUUUAAGAUGUCAUUGUAUUUUGGUACUUUGUAACGUAUAGCAGUGGUAAUCUUUAUGAUUAUAAACAUGAGAGUACAAACAGCUGUUAUAAGGGAGACAUUUUAACAUACAGUAGCUGCCGGUCAAUAUGUGAGCUGUCCUGAUGAGACUUUCUUAAACCUUAAAUUAAUUCCUCUAUUUGGAAUCUGGUACAUUUAAUGUAAGUGACACAGUGCUGUAUGUUACAGCAGAAUGCUCAAAACCUGUGUUUGGCUUAGCUGUGUAUGGAUUCAACCAAUUCAAUUUUUUCCAAAGGCUGUUUUCAGAAGUCCAGCGUCUUUGGACCAGUAAUAGCACAUUUGCAUUCUAGUUCUUGUGAUUAGGAUGAUGGAACAAGAGGUGUACAUUAAAAAUGCUCCAUCCCCUUUCCCGAGAAAGUCCUUAAUCUGACAUCUAUCUCUGAUAUCUGUCACAUACUCUAAAAUUAAGACACCAACUACAUCCUGAAAACCACCCCUUUUCAAGUAAUAUUCCUUAAAUCUCCUUAUUUGACAGUCCUACCAUUUGCACGGUUACUGUAAUAGGCUUAUUUUUCAGAAAAUAAUGGAUAAAAAGUGACAAGCUAUCCAGUGAAUCUGAAUGCAUAAUUGAUUUAAAGGCAUAAAUUAAUACAAUAAUGCCUUUAUUGUGUGCCAUUGCUGCCAAACCUACAAAAGAGCUGUGGAAUAAAACAUGGUUACAUUCUUUGUGCUGAUAGCCAUCAAUAUGUAAUGCAGAUUAUCCCAAUUCUUCUCAUGUUUCCAGUAUAUGACUGCACUCAACUUAAUUUGAAUUUUUCAUUUCUCUGUUGCACGCUGCCACUCUUCACUGUUUAAACUGCUGCAUUCAAAUGGUGUACAUUUAAAUAAGUAUAUAUAAAAAUGAUACCACGUGCAAUUUUUAAAAGUAUAAAAAGCUUUAUUGAAGGAAGAAUUACAACACGACAGAGUAAAGAUACUGAGUGGACUGCAGCCAAUAUAAAUGCACACAUGGAGAGGAUUUGAAUAUCUGUAUGGGAAACAGCUAGGUAACCAGACUGUAAUGUAAGGAACUUCAUGGGAACAAAGAUGUUAUGAAAAUGAUCAAGAUUAAAGCAUUGCAGAACAAAUCUUAUUGAUUCUACCAGAAAAAAAAAAUAGCAAAAUGGAAAUAUAGAAAAUAUUUAUUUCCUUAAAUAAAAGAAAACAAAAUAGAAGUACCAGCCUUAAAAUUGUUCCUGCAUUACUGGAAUAUUUGCAUUACUCUCUUUGUGUGGUCAUGAAACAAAGCUAGGUAGCAGAUAAAAUAUGGUCAUGCAUUUAGACCCUUGUUACAGGAUAAAUUGCACAGAAUAACAGUAAUAAAAAUAGAAAUGCUGCUUUUAACUAGUCAAUUCCAAUUCUGUGCUUGCCCAAUCGGAGCACAGAAUUCCAGUGAAUCAAAUCACACCCAGUUCAUUCUGGUUAUUUAGAAUUCUUGAUCCGAGCAUAGCAGCUAAAUCAUGCUCCUGAUUGAGGCAUAAAACUUCCCCAAUUAUUUAUGUUUUCACUGACAAGCACACCGCAUAUUGUCAAACAGUUGCUUAAUUUCACAUUGAGGCAGCAGCGCGUAUUAGGAUUCUAAUCUUUCUUUUCCGCAUUAACACCUUUUUGUAAAAGAUCAUUUGUGCUUUCUUGGUGUUUACAUCUGUACGCCGUUUACACAGCCAUGUAGGGACCAUAUUUGCAGAUUUUUAAUGCAAGUUCAGCCUUUUUAUUGUGAUUGACAGUGCACUGAUAUGCAGUCGGUGGACAAGUGGAACAUGACAUGGGAGAAUGCCUUCAAAUGUUCAUCGUCGGGUUUACUCUGGGCAGUCUUGCCACAGGCACCUGUGGCGAGAGGAGGGAAUAGGCUCUCUGCCCAGACCUUGUAGGGCUGCUUUUUUAGGGGGGUUGGGCUGGACAGUUGCCAGUGCUUUUGUUGGCAGCACAGUACAAACCCAUUAGAGAUGCUGAUGACAAUACAGCUUGUCUUCUCUGCAUUCAUAAGCUUUACUCACAUGCACUGUUUUAAAAAAUGAUAAUAAAUUAGUGGGUUUUGAAGUCAUAAUGCAAGAUAAUAAAAAAUGAUAAAGGAUAUUUGACCGCUUGGAUUCAACCAUCAGAUGAGAACACAAUAGAAACAUAGACAUAGAAACAUAAAAAAUAGAUGCAGGAGUAGGCCAUUCAACCCUUCAAGCCAGCACUGCCGUUCAAUAUGAUCAUGGCUGAUCAUCUAAAAUCAGUAUCCCGUUCCUACUUUUUCCCCAUAUACCUUGAUUCCUCUAACCCUGAGCUAAGUCUAACUCUCUCUUGAAAUAGCACCUCUCUUCUCCUGGCUACAAGCCUCCUCUUCCCGCCCCU
Molecule: long non-coding RNA, 9209 nt
Organism: Leucoraja erinaceus (little skate)
Lineage: Eukaryota; Metazoa; Chordata; Chondrichthyes; Rajiformes; Rajidae
Exons: 4
Source: RefSeq, a predicted model, not a curated record